UUAAAAAGCUCGUUGUCGGAUUUCAGAUUCAGACUUGAAUUAUUUAAUUCUCUGUCUUUUAUCUUCAUUGGUACGAACCUGCAUCUGAUUUAUUUCCGGUGCUGUCUAGUGCCUCUUUUGCUUUGAGAAAAUUAGAGUGUUCAAAGCAGGUCAUCGCCUGAAUAUUACUCUUGGAAUAAUGAUAUAGGACUUUGGUUCUAAUUUGUUGGUGUAUUAGGACCGGAGUAAUGAUUGAUAAGGACGGUUGGGGUCAUUCAUAUUGCAAAGCGAGAGGUGAAAUUCUUGGACCUUUGUAUGAUGAACAACUGCGAAAGCAUUUGACUAGGACGUUCCUGUUGAUCAAGAACGAAAGUUGGGGGAUCGAAGACGAUCAGAUACCGUCGUAGUCUCAACCAUAAACUAUGCCAGCUAGGGAUUGGAAGAUGUUUAUUUACGACUCUUUCAGCACCUUAUGAGAAAUCAAAGCAUUUGGGUUCCGGGGGGAGUAUGGUCGCAAGGCUGAAACUUAAAGGAAUUGACGGGAGGGCACCACCAGGAGUGGAGCCUGUGGCUUAAUUUGACUCAACACGGGAAAACUUACCAGGUCCGGACAUAGUAAGGAUUGACAGAUUGA
This 613-nucleotide ribosomal RNA is filed under the name uncultured marine eukaryote. Its description in RNAcentral is "SSU rRNA". It matches the Rfam family "Eukaryotic small subunit ribosomal RNA", at positions 619 to 1251 of the family's 1831-position model. The record is from RNAcentral.